This 483-nucleotide ribosomal RNA is filed under the name uncultured bacterium. RNAcentral's name for it is "partial 16S ribosomal RNA". It matches the Rfam family "Bacterial small subunit ribosomal RNA", at positions 28 to 523 of the family's 1533-position model. The record is from RNAcentral.
GACGAACGCUGGCGGCGUGCUUAACACGUGCAAGUCGAACGGUGAAAGCGGAGCUUGCUCCGCUGGAUCAGUGGCGAACGGGUGAGUAACACGUGGGCAACCUGCCCCAGACUUCGGGAUAACUCCUCGAAAGAGGUGCUAAUACCGGAUACGAAGCCCCCAGGCAUCUGGGGGCUUGGAAAGUUUUUCGGUCUGGGAUGGGCCCGCGGCCUAUCAGCUUGUUGGUGAGGUAACGGCUCACCAAGGCGACGACGGGUAGCCGGCCUGAGAGGGCGACCGGCCACACUGGGACUGAGACACGGCCCAGACUCCUACGGGAGGCAGCAGUGGGGAAUAUUGCGCAAUGGGCGGAAGCCUGACGCAGCAACGCCGCGUGAGGGAUGACGGCCUUCGGGUUGUAAACCUCUCUCAGCAGGGAAGAAGCGAAAGUGACGGUACCUGCAGAAGAAGCACCGGCUAACUACGUGCCAGCCGCCGCCGUAA